Molecule: ribosomal RNA, 1078 nt
Filed under: Halomonas sp.
Lineage: Bacteria; Pseudomonadati; Pseudomonadota; Gammaproteobacteria; Oceanospirillales; Halomonadaceae
Description: bacterial SSU rRNA
Rfam family: Bacterial small subunit ribosomal RNA
Source: RNAcentral
GGGCGGCCUAACAUGCAGUCGAGCGGAACGAUCCUAGCUUGCUAGGAGGCGUCGAGCGGCGGACGGGUGAGUAAUGCAUAGGAAUCUGCCCGGUAGUGGGGGAUAACUUGAGGAAACUCAAGCUAAUACCGCAUACGCCCCAAGGGGGAAAGCAGGGGAUCUUCGGACCUUGCGCUAUCGGAUGAGCUUAUGUCGGAUUAGCUAGUUGGUGAGGUAAUGGCUCACCAAGGCCGCGAUCCGUAGCUGGUCUGAGAGGAUGAUCAGCCACAUCGGGACUGAGACACGGCCCGAACUCCUACGGGAGGCAGCAGUGGGGAAUAUUGGACAAUGGGCGAAAGCCUGAUCCAGCCAUGCCGCGUGUGUGAAGAAGGCCCUCGGGUUGUAAAGCACUUUCAGCGAGGAAGAAGGCUUGUGGGCUAAUACCCCGCAAGAAGGACAUCACUCGCAGAAGAAGCACCGGCUAACUCCGUGCCAGCAGCCGCGGUAAUACGGAGGGUGCAAGCGUUAAUCGGAAUUACUGGGCGUAAAGCGCGCGUAGGCGGCUUGAUAAGCCGGUUGUGAAAGCCCCGGGCUCAACCUGGGAACGGCAUCCGGAACUGUCAGGCUAGAGUGCAGGAGAGGAAGGUAGAAUUCCCGGUGUAGCGGUGAAAUGCGUAGAGAUCGGGAGGAAUACCAGUGGCGAAAGCGGCCUUCUGGACUGACACUGACGCUGAGGUGCGAAAGCGUGGGUAGCAAACAGGAUUAGAUACCCUGGUAGUCCACGCCGUAAACGAUGUCGACUAGCCGUUGGGGUCCUCGAGACCUUUGUGGCGCAGUUUAACGCGAUAAGUCGACCGCCUGGGGGAGUACGGGCGCAAGGUUAAAACUCAAAUGAAUUGACGGGGGCCCGCACAAGCGGUGGAGCAUGGUGGUUUAAUUUCGAAUGCAACGCGAAGAACCGUUACUACUUCUUUGACAUCGGAGCGAACUUUCCAGAAGAUGGAUUGCUGCUUCGGGACGCCUCAGACAGUGCCUGCCAUGGUCGUCGUUCAGCUCGGUUGUGACGAUGGUAGUCGUACGAGGCAACCUGUCCUAUUUG